RNAcentral lists this microRNA precursor (219 nucleotides) under Medicago truncatula (barrel medic). Its description in RNAcentral is "MIR2655 microRNA precursor family". It matches the Rfam family "MIR2655 microRNA precursor family". The record is from Rfam by way of RNAcentral. Lineage: Eukaryota; Viridiplantae; Streptophyta; Magnoliopsida; Fabales; Fabaceae.
CCCUUAACUAUUAAAAGUUUUGUUUUGGUUUCUUAACUUAUUUUUUGGUUUCGUUUUGGUCCCUUAACUCUAAUACAUUCAUCCUAGCAUAAAGGACCAAAGUGGUUGACGGAGGAAGAGUUAAGGGACCAAAACGAAACCAAAAAAUAAGUUAAGGGACCAAAACGAAACCAAAAAAUAAGUUAAGGAACCAAAACGAAACUUUUAAUAGUUAAGGGA